CCUACGGGUGGCAGCAGUGGGGAAUAUUGGGCAAUGGACGCAAGUCUGACCCAGCAACGCCGCGUGAAGGAAGAAGGCUUUCGGGUUGUAAACUUCUUUUAAGGGGGAAGAGGAGAAGACGGUACCCCUUGAAUAAGCCACGGCUAACUCCGUGCCAGCAGCCGCGGUAAUACGGAGGAUGCGAGCGUUAUCCGGAUUUAUUGGGUUUAAAGGGUGCGCAGGCGGAGGUGCAAGUCAGCGGUCAAAUUGCGGGGCUCAACCCCGUACUGCCGUUGAAACUGCAUCCCUUGAGUGCGCGAGAAGUAUGCGGAAUGCGUGGUGUAGCGGUGAAAUGCAUAGAUAUCACGCAGAACUCCGAUUGCGAAGGCAGCAUACCGGCGCGCAACUGACGCUCAUGCACGAAAGCGUGGGUAUCGAACAGGAUUAGAUACCCUAGUAGUC
RNAcentral lists this ribosomal RNA (441 nucleotides) under uncultured bacterium. Its description in RNAcentral is "partial 16S ribosomal RNA". It matches the Rfam family "Bacterial small subunit ribosomal RNA", at positions 338 to 795 of the family's 1533-position model. The record is from RNAcentral.